RNAcentral lists this ribosomal RNA (253 nucleotides) under uncultured bacterium. Its description in RNAcentral is "partial 16S ribosomal RNA". It matches the Rfam family "Bacterial small subunit ribosomal RNA", at positions 524 to 776 of the family's 1533-position model. The record is from RNAcentral.
UACGUGGGGGGCUAGCGUUGUCCGGAAUCAUUGGGCGUAAAGCGCGUGUAGGCGGUCCGGUAAGUCCGCUGUGAAAGUCGAGGGCUCAACCCUCGAAUGCCGGUGGAUACUGUCGGGCUUGAGUACGGGAGAGGCGAGUGGAAUUCCUGGUGUAGCGGUGAAAUGCGUAGAGAUCGGGAGGAACACCAGAGGCGAAGGCGGCGACCUGGACAGGUACUGACACUCAACUACGAAAGCGUGGGGAGCAAACAGG